AUGUAUAGAUGGAUACGUCCUCAUUUCCAUAGUUCUUCUGUGACAUGAUAUUUAUGUUCUUGACUACAAUGCUAGUUGGCGGUCAACGUCUAUAUUUGAUAGGCUUUGGAAGUACCAACUUGUCAAAGAUAUGAAGAAUUGCCAGAAUUUUUGGAGGAGGUGCUAUUAAAUCCGGUUACAAAUUGUGAUUAGUUCAACUAUAUGUACCUAAACGUUCCCGCGAUUCUCUAUUUCCUUGAAAAGGGCGCUCAGCCUACAGGAACUGUUCAGGAUAUUUUAAAAAAGGCAGAGGUUUUUAAGGAACUUGGCCCUAAUCAAACGAAAUUCAAUUAAAUUAAGGAAAUUGCAAUAGAAAAGAAAAAGGGAGGUUGCGGUGAUUCGACUGCCUUUCUGAAGGUAAUCUGUGCUCUUUGUUUCAUCCUUCUUUUAAAGCUCCACUUGGUUUCGAUCAUGAUGUUUUUCGGAUGAAGUACCUUAUUUUGUUAAAAUCUGCUUCUGGAGUCACAAAUUUCAUGUUAACUAUCUUCAGUUCAGUGUAUGUGUUAUAUAAACAACUGUUUGCUCUUUAUGCAUCUGUUGUAUUUGUUGAUUAUUGACAUAGAUGUUAAAUGAUACAUAAUAUGACUUUAUUAUCUAUUUGUUAACUACUUUUAUGUAACCGUAUAGGCUAACUAUUUCAGUGUAAAUAUC
This 690-nucleotide long non-coding RNA is filed under the name Helianthus annuus (common sunflower). Its description in RNAcentral is "hypothetical non coding rna". Lineage: Eukaryota; Viridiplantae; Streptophyta; Magnoliopsida; Asterales; Asteraceae. The record is from RNAcentral.